Molecule: long non-coding RNA, 6294 nt
Filed under: Sus scrofa (pig)
Lineage: Eukaryota; Metazoa; Chordata; Mammalia; Artiodactyla; Suidae
Description: lncRNA (ENSSSCG00050039614.1)
Source: RNAcentral
GCAGUUUUUUCAACACUUGUGAAACCUUCAUUGAUCUCUUCAGAGCUGCUAGCACCAGUUGGCUGGAGCCCCCCCUCCUCAGAAGUCUGGGUCCCAGCUGUCAGGACUUUCCUCUGGACUUAGGGACAUCAGGACCAGGUAGAAAAGAGGUGUGUUUCAAUGGCAAUCUCUCCAACUUUGUGAGCUCUCCAUGAAAACUGUCUUUGAAUUCUAGCCUGUUCUGCUUCGUGACCUUGAGUAAAUUCCUGAACUGCUUUAAACAAAGCCUCAGUUUGCUCCUCUAUAAGAUGGAAAGAUAACAAUGCCUGUCUCCUGGGGUCACUGUGAAUAUUGGAUGCCAAAUUCAUGGCACAGUGCAUGGCAUAAAGAAAGACCUGACCUAAAUAUUGGAAUGAGGUUCACACACAGGGUAGCAAGUGCUGGAAACUCCAGAGGAUGAACAACUGAUCUUCUUGGAAUCUGAAGUCUCACCUGAGGGGCCCACUGCCAAGGACACCACCUCUGCCAUGUGUCAUUUGGUCUCAGGUUGGUUUCCUCAGAAACAUACUCUGAGAUGGAGGUUUUGGUGGGGUGAUGGGGAAAUGCCUUUGGGAUCAAUUCCUGUGAGACAGAAAAGAACAUGGGACUGGGCAGAGGGAGAAGGUGGGCUGCCGUGCAGUAGCCCAAAGACCUCAGCCCCUCCCAUGGGAAGUCUGGAGCUGGAAGGGCCCUUCAGGGUUGCUCUGGAUUGAGCAACCAGGGGCUGAGUCUUUGAAUGCCCCUUACCUAUUAGUCCUUGGGUGCAGGCUGUCCCUCUGAAGGUGUGUAUGACCAUGGGUGAGGCUGCUGGGGGCAGUCUCACGGAGGGGCUAAGUUGAGAGCCAUCAGGCUCCGGCAUCCCAAGAAACUUGGGGUAUGAGUGCUUCAAACAGAAAGUCACCUACCCAUUGGGUUUUAGAGUCCUGGGCAGCGCUUUUGACUAUCAGCUGUGAAAACUUGGGCAAAAUCAUUCAUUCAUUUGUUCAUUCAACCACUAUUUUUGAAAUGCCUACCACGUGUUUUAAGUUCUGGGGAUAAAGCAGUGAGGUGGUCAGGUUCAAACAAAACCCCAACCCUAUGGGACCUACCAUCUUGUUUGGGGAGGUAGAUAAGAAAUAAUCAAAAUAAUAAAAGUGACAGGCUUUCAUAAGAAAUAUAAAUGAAUGUAAGUAACAUACAAUGGUAUAAAGUACAUCUCAGACUUUAACUGGACACAGACCAUCUGGGAAUCUUGUUAAAAUGCAGAUUAUGAUUCAGUAGGUCUCAGGUGGGGCCAAGAUGCUACAUUUUUAAUAAGCUCCCAUUGAUGCUGAUGCUGCUGGUCCAUGGACCACACUUUGAGUAGUGAGAUAAACAGGGUGAACUAGGAGGAUCAGGUGGUGGAAAAGGGAAGCUACUUUAGAUAGACUGGGCUGUGUAAGUAGGGAUAUUUGAAUUGAGACCCGAAGAAGGUGAAAUUACUUCAUUUGAGUCCUAGUUUCCUCAGCUAUAAAAUGGGAAAAACAACUAAGUCUGGCACAAGGUAGGUGCUCAAUAAAUAUUAACUACUGUUGGAGCUGCUACUGGCUCAGCCAGGCCCAUUGUGAUUGUUCUUACUCUUUCUACCUCACUCCUUUUCAUCUUUUAUUUCUGCUGACUGCUGCCAUGUUCUCGCCAUAUUUUCUGUUUUAUUUUUUUAAAUUUAUUUAUUUAUUUUGCUUUUUAGGGCCACACCUGCAGCAUAUGGAAGUUCCCAGGCUAGAGGUCAAAUUGAAGCUCCAGCUACUGGCCUAUGCCACAGCCACACUAACUGAGAUCCGAGCUGCAUCUGUGACCUACACCCCAGCUCAUGGCAACUGGAUCCUCGAUACACUGAAUAGAGCCAGGGAUCAUACCCACAUCCUCUUGGAUACUAGUUGGGUUUGUAGCCCACUGAACCACAAUGGGAUCACUGUGGCCACAUUUUCUGUUUUAAAUUCCCAAGAAUAGGAACUGGAUUGGCUUGACUUUGUGUGGGCCCACUGCUUGGGGACCAGCCACUUCCUAAGCUUGCUGAUUGUCCAGUCUGCUGAUUGGCAAUCUUUGGCUUUGUUGUGUUUCAGUGGCCAAUCAGUUACAACUGGAGAACAGAUGGUAUGAACACAGCUCUGAAAGGCUGCUCCCCCAGCAGAGGCUCCAGGCAGGUACUAAGGCCAGUGUUUAAUGCAUGUGUCCCAAUAGGUCCCUCAUUCCCUUUUAGGAGGGCUUAGCUGUUUAUAAAGUUGUUUCUUCUAUUGAAUUGAGAAUUCUUGAAGGUAGGCACCUGUUUUACUGACUCAUGGCAGAGUAUUGGAACAAUAGGAACUUAACAAUAUUAUGGGGUUUAAUGUAGCAGUAUUGUGGAGGUUCCGUGGGGGCUCAUGUGCUCUUAGGAAGGUUUGGAGAAGGAAGCUGGACAGGCAGAGAAGGAAUUUGAAAGUCAAGGAGAAAUUCAAUAGAUGGAGUGAAGCAGAAUGCUUUAUGGAGAGGGGCACUUGUGUAAGCAAAUUUGCAUGGACAAGACCAACAUUUUAGAGAAAGACAGAGUGUCUUGGCUUGUUCAAGAACUAAAUUGGGGCAAUAUUUCCCCCUGAUACAAAUAUUCACUGGCAUUUUAUUUAGUCUUCCUGUGUAAGUCCUGUAUAUCUUAGUUUUGUCCACACACACAUACACACACACACCAUGUAAUAAAAUAAAACAUUCCAUGAAAACAUAUUCUGCUCAAUGCAUUAACUUCACUAGCUGCCGAGGUGUAGAAGUCCAAAGCCAAGAGUAAUAAAAAUAAACUAAGAGGCAGCUUGCACAAAGGAUGGUUUUUCACAAGGGUUCACAGAUCUUAUUUUAAGAUUGAAGCCCCCCAGGUGUCCUUCCUCUUCUUUUCAACCGACAGUUGUGGUUGUGCAAGGAGCACGGCUGGCCCUGGGGAACUGCCAGCCACUCUCAAACAAACAGCCACUUGUGGCUGCGGGCUUCCUCUUGGCUCUGCCUGGAGGCAGCAGUUAGUCUUGGGGAGUUUGGGGGCUGCAAGCUGGGGUCAGAUGAGUGGUGUUAACUCUGACUCCAGUCCCCUUGUUUUCAUUCCUGUUGUGACAAUGUGAGUUUCUCCCUUGAAUUUUGGAGGGGACAGCCCUUCCAAACGGGACAUCCUCUAACUUUUUUGUGACUAUGACUGCUGAUCCAUGGGGAUGCCACUAUUUUGGUCCUUUUGUCUCCCUGGAUAUCAAGAAAAGUUCUGCUUAAAUGAAUGAUAUGGGGGGAAGGAUGCAUUAGGAGUUUUGGAUUAACAUGUGCAUACUACUAUGUAUAAAAUAGAAGAUAACUAACAAAGACCUAUACUCAAUAUUUUGUAAUAACCUCUAAUGGGAAAGAAUCUGAAAAAGAAUACACAUGCGCACGUCUGUAUCUAUAUCUGUAUCUAUGACCAUCUUUAUCUAUCUAUCUAUCUAUCUAUCUAAAACUGAAUCACUGUGCUAUACACCUAAAACACAAAAUUGUAAAUCAACUCUGUUUCAGUUAAAAAAAAAAAAGAAUGGUACGAAUGAGAGUUAGGAGGAUGUGUUUAACUGGUCAAGGUCACUGCACACUGAAAAGCUCUCUAACUAAUAUCCCCUCCUACUUUUCUUUUACCUUAGAAUCCUUAUUGCAUACCAUAGCCAGAUUGAUUCCAAAACUUUCAGCUUGUCCUUCCCCAAAUCCUUGUGGUUCCUUACCCCCUAGGAAAGGUCUCUUUUCCCUUUGCUCAAAUUUACUUUUGCCACCCACCCCCCUGCCCCACCCAUCUGGCCUGCAACUUUUCUCGCCCUUGCACACUAUUUUCUAGACACAAAAUCUCCAAUCUAGCAGGUUGGUGAACUCUCUGUCCCUAGGUCCUACAGUCCCUGUCUCCAGGUCUCUGCCUACAUCGCUCCUAUGCCAGCCAUAAAUUCUUUUUUCUACUCUUGAAAUUCACCAGUUCUCCACGUCUAGCUUAACGCCUGCCUCUGGCAGCUCCCUGAAAGAUAGUUCUGCUCCCAAAGCAUCUCUCUGGACCCUUCAUCACUGGAUGUUAAUCUUGCCUCUAUUAUUUUUCUACUUUUGACAUGUCUAGGCUUGUGUCCUCAGCUAAGAUUAUACACUCCUAGAGGGCAGGGAUAGUUCACCUCCAGCAGAAAGCUCUGGAGAUUAAUGAAUUACUAGCAGCUUGGAUGAGGCACCCUGUUUCUUACAAAUCAAUUUCAUUGCAAGCAGACCUUGAAGUUCCCACACUUGAGCUUUCUGGUAAUACCAGCACCACAUGCACUUGACUUGAAGAAGCUGACAUAUCAUGAGACUUUUCUCUGUUUUUUUUCUCUCAGGCUGAUCUUUCCUGCAUAGUCAGUGUAGUGUAGUGGGAAGGCCUCUCAGAGGGAGUGAAGAGAUUGGGCACUAGUCUCAUCUCUGCUGGCAACUAGCUAAGGUACCUCUCAUGAGUGAACCUGGUUGUCUGGGGGGAUCCAUUUCUUUAAGCUGUGCAUUUCGGAGGCCAACAUAAUCCCACCUUGAAUUAAUAAAGAAAGGGCAAGGCUGGGGUGGGGGGACACAUUUCUGAAAAUGUGGUCCAACUUUGCACUUUUGCCCCUGUUUUCCUCUUUUUGUUUUCUCCAGCUAGUACCACUUCCUCCCUCCCCACCUCCCAGCCCUCUCCUUUUUUCCCUUUAAGUGUCAGUAAAUCUGAUAACCAUCUCACUUUUCUUUUAUUCCUUUCCUUGUUCUAACCAUACUUCGGCAUGUUUUCCUUAGAUAAACAUUUCUGGUACUACAAGUGCUGAGUGCUAUACAGACAAGCUCCAGCUUACUUUGCUUUCAGAAUCUUUUGUUAAAAAAGAAAGAAAGAAAGACGUGAACUCUCAGCCCUGAGAUACAUCUUUCUUGUAAUUAAACAUUGCAUUUCCACUCAAGAGUGCCAAGUCUUUAAAAAGCACGACCUCAUUCAUCUCUCAUCCCCUGUCAGUUCCUGGGUUUUAAAGAAAUGAAGGUACAAGGGCAAUGCCCAUUGUGCUGCCCCAUUUUGUGGAGUGAGAAAUCAAGUCUCAGAGCUCAUGGCAAUUUGCCUGAGGGGGUCAGUGAGUCCUUGGCUAGUAGGGGAACAGGAUGUGGGGUUCCUGGUUUCCAGCCAUUUCUCUAACCAUGGGCAUGGGGACAAGUUUGAGCAGAAUCACGAAGAGGCAGAUGGAUUUCUAUGCACCCAGAGAGGAUGAUGCCCUGGGCUUUAGGGAGGUGAUGAGUGAGGGCAGUGAUGUGCUCUGACUGCAGACAGGUGAAGGGAAAGGGAUUCACCUAGAUACUCUUCUAAAACAAAGAGAAAUCUCCACUGAGGCAAUACCAAAGGGGAGAUAAAAGAGGAUAUGGGCCACGCUCAACUUUAUCUAUGGGUGCCCAGUCCUAAACACCAAGCUGUAUUUACCUGCUUCAGAUCUCCCAACUUUGCCUUGAAAUUUGACCAGAGAUGGAUUUAUCAAGGAGCUAAUGAAGCUUACAUUUCAGGGCCUCUCACCUGCACAGGUGCUUUCCAAGAGCCCAGGAAGGCCCUACUGGUAGUUUCACAUGGCUGUAUCUUUUUGUAAAAUUUGCCAAAGUAAGAUAGUCUGUUUUUAGUAAGCCACCCAAAUUAUACAAACUUUAGGACUUGAAAAAUCUGAAUCUGUUCCUGGACCUGAUCCCCACUGACACAUUAUCCUAGCUUUUGUUUUUCAUGAAACCUCUUCUCUUCCUAAAGGGGUCUUUGCUGCCUUAAAUUGCCAGCUAUGUUUGUGCUUGCUCUGUCCUUAUUGGGCAAUUGCAAUUCUUAGCCUUAAGGAAGGAAGCUAGCCCUCCUUGAGCACUUAACCAUGCUUUCAUAAACACCAUCAAAGUCCAGAUUCACCACAUCGUACUUUUUCAUAGUGGGGAAUAGUUUCAGGGAGAUCUGGUAACAUGGUGAAAAUUGAAUCGCUUGACUAUGACACAGCCCAACCAGGAACUCAUCCUUUUUGCAUAAGCAGAAGUAUUGGGAAGGAAAAAAGUGGAUUCUGGGGUAAGGGGAAAGUGCCUUCCUUUUUGCUCAAGUCAUUUUUCUUUGUUUUCCUUUCCAGAUCCCUUUCUCUGUGCUUUCUGUGAUUGUGAUCAAUGCAUGUUUACAGGGUCUGUGGUCUCUGCAAACCCUUGGGAUAGACACCCCAAAUCGAAAAGGCAGUUGCUUAUAAUUUAAAAGAGAGAGCAGUAUGCCACGGGUGCGGCCCUAAAAGACAAAAAAAAAAAAAAAAAAGACCAAAAAAAAAAAAA